This 353-nucleotide unclassified non-coding RNA is filed under the name fungal sp. Its description in RNAcentral is "partial internal transcribed spacer region". The stretch from base 1 to 46 matches the Rfam family "Eukaryotic small subunit ribosomal RNA", at positions 1786 to 1831 of the family's 1831-position model. Lineage: Eukaryota; Fungi. The record is from RNAcentral.
AAGUCGUAACAAGGUUUCCGUAGGUGAACCUGCGGAAGGAUCAUUAACACGUAUCCAACGUUAAACAACCCUGUGAACUUUCAACCCCGCCGGAAUGGGAUUAAUUUCCAACUCCGGCGAAGACAAGUGACCUGGCACCUGACCUCAUCAAAGCUCUGACAGCGUGCCUCUGGAUGCUUAAUGGAAGGGUGACGCAGUAACGAUCGCUGGAGGCCCACACGGCCGGCGACCGGGUCAGCGGCAUUCUUUAAUGCCCCUUAAAACCACUUAACAUGACGACAGUUCCUCUUUAACUUGAGUUGAGCUAUAACAAAAAACUAAUACAACUGUUAACAAUGGAUAUCUUGGUUCUC